Molecule: long non-coding RNA, 949 nt
Organism: Thalassophryne amazonica
Lineage: Eukaryota; Metazoa; Chordata; Actinopteri; Batrachoidiformes; Batrachoididae
Exons: 2
Source: RefSeq, a predicted model, not a curated record
UAUUUUGCUAUUUUUUUUCAAACAUGGAUCAGACUGACUCUAUUCAACUUCUUCAGUUGGUCAUUUAAGCAAAAACUCCUAAUGCACCAAAUUAAUUUGUACCAAAAUUGCAGCUUGUUCCAGCUUUUCAUAUUUGAAACCUGAAUUUGUAGUGAGUGGUUUAAAGUGGGUUUUCACACAGAUGAUGAAUGGUUUUUGUAAUGAAAUUAUUGAAGGAAAACCUCAGUUUUAGGUGUAGGCGGUGCUCCGGAUGCUGUUUAGUUCAAUUAGUUGUUAGUCGCCUGCUGCAAAGAUGAAGAGCAGAAAACAGUCUUUGGAGUCGGUGGAAGGUUUCUGCAUUUCUGUGAAUGUGAGAAACUCAAGAACAGAUACGUGGACAAAUCUGUGUCCACAAGAGGACAUAUUUCUGUGCCACAGAAUGUGACUUUUUCCAUUCAUCCUUACAGCUUGUGCACAUCAUUUUGUUUCUGCAGCAUCAUGCUCUAAGCACACAGUGGUUUUGAUAAAAUGGUGAGCAGUGCCUUUUCCCCCCAGGCAGUCUUAUAUGUACAGCUUUUUUCUUUUUAAUAUACUGUAACCUGAACACAGAAGCACAGAGCAAGAUUAAAAAAAGGCUCAUUGCACCAAAGCACAAAAUAUUUAAUAUAAGCAGGGCACAUUAGUUAAUAAUAAUAAUAAUAAAUCUUUUUCCACACCUUAUUUGUGCCAUCAGAUCCAGCCUGUGGAUAUUACAAUUUAACUUCAGGUCGAACUGUGAUUAGAAUGAAGAGCUGGUUUUUUUCCAUUUGAUUUGCAUGCAUGUUUUUAUGACUAAAUGCUUUUCAUAGUUAUUGUGGGUGUCUAUGACUAAAUGUAGGGGGGGAAAGUGUACGUGUUCAAUAUUGUGAUGUUCAGUGUGAUUUUAGUGUUUUUUUGGUUCAUUUUUAAUAAAUGCAGUGAUCAUGAAAAA